Molecule: non-coding RNA, 1915 nt
Organism: Chelonoidis abingdonii (Abingdon island giant tortoise)
Lineage: Eukaryota; Metazoa; Chordata; Testudines; Testudinidae
Source: RefSeq, a predicted model, not a curated record
CACAGCUGCAGCUACAAGAUUUUUUAGCUGGAGUCAUUCAAAGGAAGCAAUCAAUAAGAGCUUUUCUCAUCAAUCACAAGGGCUGGAGAUGAACUUUAUGUCAAUGAAAAUGGAGAUUCUCAGGUCCUGAUGUAGAGAAGUCAAUAGGAGCUGGGUGCAGCCCUAGACGGCACAAGAGCCUCAUCCUACAAAUAUUUAUUACCAGUCUUCAGGUGAAAUCCUACUCCAAUGAAGUUAAUCAGUUUUCCCAUUGACUUUAAUGGGGCUAGAAUUUCAGGAAUAGGGUCUAUUGCAAAACUCACUUAACCCAAUGAAAAUGAUCCCAUUGAUUUCAAUGAACUUUGGAUCAGGUUGAUAAUGUUUGCCACCAUGAACUGACCCAGUGAAGUCACUGGUCCUGAUUUUGCUAUCACGCUGGUGUAAAUCAGGAGUAACUCCACCAAAGACAAUGGAUUUAUACCAGUGUCAAGUGAAAGCGGUAAAGCUCAGUGGUUCAUUCAUAAUCAUCAUCACUUCACCUAGUGCUACGCGUUUGCAGGUCUGAGCCCUUAGCGGAUUUCUGGGAGCAAGGGCUUCAUUUGUUAUUGUUCCUUCUUAUACAUUGCUUAGUAAAUUGCAGUGUACUGUCCAUCUCCAACAAUGUGGCAGAGAGUGUUGAAAAUUGAGAACACCUUUGAAUCAAGGGAGCUCUCUGUUUGGUAGAAAUUCCAUACCUCUGUGAGCAGUGUUAUCACGCUGAAAAGGAAUAAAGAGGUGAUGCACAAUGUCAGGGUGCAUCCGAAAAUCAGAGCUGCAUGAGAGAUUGGGGAUGUGUUUAGAAUUUGAAAAACUGUAGCCCUUUGGAAAACAUUUACACAUCUGUAUUCAGAUGUUAUGCAGUUGAAUGGGUACAAAUGAUAUAAAGCAAAGGCUCACCGUGUGUUAAAGGGACACGAUCAAUUUAACUUUUGCCCACCAAAUUUUGAUUUUGUACAAACAAGCCCUACUGUGACUUCUUCGGGGCUCUGUGCAGAUGUAGAGCCCACUUGCGAAGCAGCUUGUGCAAGUGAAACCAAAAAGCCUUGUCUACAUUAGAAAGGGCUUGCUGGUAUAGCUAGUAUAGACAAUAGACACAGCUUAUAGAGGCAAAAGAACGUUUUUGCCAGUAUAGCUUAUGCCAGUAUAACUGUCUACAUUAGGGCUUUUGCAAGUAUAAAAAUGGUGUAAAAAUCACACCUUUAAGGGACAUUCUAUAUCGGCAAAAGAUUCUAGUCUAGAUCCCGCUUUGGUGAAUUAUUUUAACCUUUUUUCCUUUUCUCUUUAAAUACCUUGUGUGUGUGUUUGUGUUAGUCUGUGUUUACUUCUGAUCCUGCAAUCCUUGCGCAAUAUCUACACUACAGACUUCUCUGAUAUAAUUACAUUGGUCAGUGUGUGAAGAGGUACGAUCCCCAACCAACACACCUGUGACAGCAAACACCUCUAGUGUAGACAAAAGUUAUACCAGCAAAAUUGAGCUUUUAGCACUACAACUUGUUUGGCUUGGGGUGGCUGAAAUAAGCUUUUCUGAUAAACGCACACUUUGCCAGUAUGAGCUGCACAACACUAGGGGCAUUUUGCCCAUAAAGCAUACUGAUAUUGCGAGAAUGGUAAAGCACUCCUAGAAUAGACUUGGCCUUACUCACUUGAACAGUCCCACGGCAGUUAAGCAUGAUUCCCCCCUCACCUUCACUGGGUUUUUAGUGGUGUAACUCCAUUGCUUUCAAGGGCGUUGUGCCAAUUUACACCAGUGUGAGAUCAGAAUAAGGCCCAAUAUGGUCACUUGUAUGAGUAAGGAUUAUUCAUGUAUUGCAGGGAGGGCUCUAUAAUGGGUGGGGUGCGUGUACAAUGGGAGAGUUGGUCUCUUUACAUAAUAAAUAUUUGACAACACUUGCUGACU